GACGAACGCUGGCGGCGUGCCUAACACAUGCAAGUCGAGCGGGGUUGAAGCGAGAGGUAACUCGAACUUCUACCUAGCGGCGGACGGGUGAGUAACGCGUGGGCAACCUGCCUCAAGGUCUGGGAUAACAGCCCGAAAGGGCUGCUAAUACUGGGUAUGCUUGUGGCCUCGCAUGGGGCUAUGAGCAAAGGGGAAACCCGCCUUGAGAUGGGCCCGCGUCCCAUCAGCUAGUUGGUGAGGUAACAGCUCACCAAGGCGACGACGGGUAGCCGGCCUGAGAGGGUGACCGGCCACACUGGGACUGAGACACGGCCCAGACUCCUACGGGGGCAGCAGUGGGGGAUCUUGCACAAUGGGCGAAAGCCUGAUGCAGCGACGCCGCGUGAGCGAAGAAGGCCUUCGGGUUGUAAAGCUCUGUCUGGAGGGACGAAGGAAGUGACGGUACCUCCGGAGGAGCCACAGACUAACUACGUGCCAGCAGCCGGCGGUAAUCAACCGAGUAA
This 503-nucleotide ribosomal RNA is filed under the name uncultured bacterium. Its description in RNAcentral is "bacterial SSU rRNA". It matches the Rfam family "Bacterial small subunit ribosomal RNA", at positions 28 to 533 of the family's 1533-position model. The record is from RNAcentral.